This 468-nucleotide ribosomal RNA is filed under the name uncultured bacterium. RNAcentral's name for it is "partial 16S ribosomal RNA". It matches the Rfam family "Bacterial small subunit ribosomal RNA", at positions 28 to 507 of the family's 1533-position model. The record is from RNAcentral.
GACGAACGCUGGCGGCGUGCUUAACACAUGCAAGUCGAACGGAAAGGCCCUGCUUUUGUUGGGUGCUCGAGUGGCGCACGGGUGAGUAACACGUGUGUAACCUGCCCUUGCCUUUGGGAUAACUUCAGGAAACUGGGGCUAAUACCGGAUAUGCGCUCCUGCUGCAUGGUGGGGGUUGGAAAGUUUCGGCGGUUGGGGAUGGACUCGCGGCUUAUCAGCUUGUUGGUGGGGUAGUGGCUUACCAAGGCUUUGACGGGGAGCCGGCCUGAGAGGGUGACCGGCCACAUGGGGACUGAGAUACGGCCCAGACUCCGACGGGAGGCAGCAGUGGGGAAUAAUGCACAAUGGGCGGAAGCCUGAUGCAGCAACGCCGCGUGCGGGAUGACGGCCUUCGGGUUGUAAACCGCUUUCGCCUGUGACGAAGGGUGAGUGACGGUAAUGGGUAAAGAAGCACCGGCUAACUACGUG